CUCCCUUCCUUUGACUUCACCAUGGCCUGGCUCCUUCGUCUCUUUGCUGUUCUCAGCUCCUGCUCAGGUCUGGUUCUGGGUGGUUAAUGGGAUCAGGUCGUCUUGUGCUGAGAUAAUUGGUCAAGCAACAAACCCAGUUAUCUUGUGUAACUUACCAUAGAAACACAAUGUUUUUUUGAUCCUUAUCAAAACAGAAAAUGAUGCCUUUUCUUUUUCUUUUUGCAAAGGUGUCAUUUCACAGUCUGUAACUCAGCCAGCCUCGGAGUCUGUGUCCCUGGGCCAAACUGUGAAGCUCUCCUGCUCCAGAAGUAGUGGUAGCUGGGACAGCUUUGGCUGGUAUCAACAGAAACCUGGCCAGGCUCCUCGCUUUGUGUGGUAUGGCUACGACAGGGGAGAAGGGAUCCCAGAUCGGUUCACAGGUUUACCCUCUGGGAACAAUGGCUAUUUAACCGUCUCCAACAUCCGGACUGAAGAUGAGGCAGUUUAUUACUGUGGUGCCUGGAAGUAUGACAGCAACAUGUUU
Podarcis lilfordi (Lilford's wall lizard) is the source of this 523-nucleotide non-coding RNA. The record is from the annotation of a GenBank genome assembly. Lineage: Eukaryota; Metazoa; Chordata; Lepidosauria; Squamata; Lacertidae.